GAGGUCGAGAGGCGCUGCAACGGGCUCGGGCCCGCCACGCUCGGCCGAGUCACCGUGAACAAGGGCGCCUCCCACAA
This 77-nucleotide non-coding RNA is filed under the name Kutzneria sp. 744. RNAcentral's name for it is "SAH (S-adenosyl-L-homocysteine) riboswitch aptamer". It matches the Rfam family "SAH (S-adenosyl-L-homocysteine) riboswitch aptamer". The record is from Rfam by way of RNAcentral. RNAcentral also lists the same sequence under 1 other name. Lineage: Bacteria; Bacillati; Actinomycetota; Actinomycetes; Pseudonocardiales; Pseudonocardiaceae.